Molecule: ribosomal RNA, 253 nt
Filed under: uncultured bacterium
Lineage: Bacteria
Description: partial 16S ribosomal RNA
Rfam family: Bacterial small subunit ribosomal RNA
Source: RNAcentral
UACGUAGGGGGCGAGCGUUGUCCGGAAUUACUGGGCGUAAAGAGCUUGUAGGUGGUUUGUCGCGUUGUUCGUGAAAUCUCACGGCUUAACUGUGAGCGUGCGGGCGAUACGGGCAGACUAGAGUACUGCAGGGGAGACUGGAAUUCCUGGUGUAGCGGUGGAAUGCGCAGAUAUCGGGAAGAACACCCGUGGCUAAGGCGGCUCUCUAGUACGGUACUGACGCUGAGACGCGAAAGCGUGUGGAGCGAACAGG